Molecule: unclassified non-coding RNA, 23 nt
Filed under: Mus musculus (house mouse)
Lineage: Eukaryota; Metazoa; Chordata; Mammalia; Rodentia; Muridae
Description: oocyte_clustered_small_RNA4680
Source: RNAcentral
UGCAAUCAGACCUGCCUUCCACA